Molecule: long non-coding RNA, 4335 nt
Organism: Lagopus muta (rock ptarmigan)
Lineage: Eukaryota; Metazoa; Chordata; Aves; Galliformes; Phasianidae
Exons: 3
Source: RefSeq, a predicted model, not a curated record
GAAUACCAAUUUGCACUGAUUAUGGGUUUAAUGUUCUGUCUUUGGCAGAAGGAAGAGAUGCAAACUGUUUCUUUGUAGUUUGCACUGCCUCCUUUAAAAUAACCUGAAGCAAACCAUCCUUCUGCUUGGCUUUUCUUGUACUACACCUGCAGUACACAGUACACAGUGCUCCCUCAGAGCCUUUAUUGUUCAUUCCUGAUAACAUAUAAUACCUUCAGCACACAAUAUUAAACUUAUCCCAGACUUUUUUUCUGUGUAUGAGAACAGUACCUCAUCUAGCAGAAUAAGACCUCUGGCCACCCAACUUUCAUUAAAAGGCAAUAGAAUGAUGGGAAGGAGGGGAUAUCUCUCCCAAACAUGAAAGCAAAGGAUGCCCAGCACCCACCAUUUACCAGCCAUGCUCAAACAAACAUUUCCAUCUUGAUGCUUUCCACUGCAGCUGUCCCCAGGUAAAUAAUUAACUAAUUAUGCCUUCCUUAGGCUUGCCUUUGGCCCUUAACAUUCUUACUUGAGGAAAUGCACUGGCUCCCAUGGUCUCAUGGUCUACUCCUAUGUGUGUGCAGAGGUACGAUGGAGAUGCUCCAAGCUGCUGCCCUACAUCUCUGCUGGCUAGCUGGAUGCUUACACAUCUCAAAAUGAGCAUUGAAUUCUGCUACAGCUGGCCCAGAACUGUGGAGCCAGCAUAUUUACAAAAUGUGAACAAAUGAAAUGAUGUUCAAAGGCACACACAGCACUCAAAGGCACACAGUGUGUAAUCUUCAUUCCCACAGUGGCACGGGCACUGAGACUUAAUGAUCCACACCUUAAGAGCUUCUAGCUGACGGAUGGAUGCAAAUAACAUAGGCUGGAGAGAGGAGGAGAACUGAAUUAUUCCAACCCAGUUCCUGUAGUCAUCACUAAAUAUAGUGCUUGUACUGAUGCAGCAUUUCUGGGAUGGUUAUGAAAUGUCUGGCAUGCUCUGAUGUUUAACAAUCUUUACACAUUUAUAUUAAUAGAUGCUGUAGCUGAGAUUUAGCAGACAAAAGACGAGAGCAAAGGAAGCUGCUGCAGUGCUGUCAGGCAGGGAGGCACUGCCAGCUGCUUUGCUGUGCAUCACAAGCCUGGAUCUUGAGGCUUGCCACUGAUAAACCACCUGCUUCAAUAAUACUCUCUUCCUACUUCUCAAGUGGGGGAAUUUGUCAGAGGCCAGAUUUAGCAGCUGUGGUCUCAGGGGCAUCUGAUAAUUACAGAAGUGCUGUUCCACAUGCCUGAUGAAGCAAUAGAGACUGUUAGUGGGUGUGAGCUCCGAAGAGAGAUUGCACUAUGCGUGUUUCUAUAUUUCCUUUAAUUUGCAAUCUCAUUUUUUCUCAAAUUAAAUUUAUGCAAGCAUCACAGUGGGGAUUAGCUAUUGAUAUAAUUGAGAGUAGAAACAGAGAUGAUUAUACAAUGCCCAGGAUUCAUGCAAUUGGACAUCAGACACCUACAAGGCAGAUACCUACAUUCAGCACAGUUAUUUUGUCCCUUACCUGUACUCAGUGAUACUCAUGUAUCUGUUUUAGGGCACGAGCAUUGCCUUGUGGAUGUGACUUCCAGUGGGCACACAAGUACUGAAGCCCUGCAGCCCUUUAAAAUUGGGUCACCUGCAUGCUAGCAACAAGUCCAUGACAAAUGGGGGGGAUGUCCAGGAUUGCAUGUAAGAGCAAGGGAAGUGUGUGAUGAUUCCUGUGUGUGCCCCUUCUUGCCCCUGAGAUCUACAGCACUGAUUUCUUGAGCGAGGGGCAGUUUUAUAUUUAAUCAUUUCUGAUAAACAAACUCCUGGAGCAAAAACUUAACAGCCUUUCAGCUGCUUGUGAAUGCAGACAGUAGUGUCUUUGCAGUACCUAUGGUCCUCACAGUGGGAACAGAACUGUGAAGUCCACAGUGUGAAGCCAGAAAGGUUCUUUAAGCCAAAUUGACUUUUAUGACCAUUUACAUCUCUCAGUCAGAUUCUAUUUGUUCCAAGCAGCAGGCACGCUCAGAAGCUUGUCUGAAACCCCAUCCUAAAGGGCCCGAAUGCUGGUAUGAGUUAAACAGGCACUAAAAAUUCAGGGUGCUCUUAUUAGAGCUCUUAUUAGAGCUGUUGAUUUAACAGUGGUGAAGAUGGAGACACACUCAGAGCACAGGUUCAUUACAAAGCACCCCAAGUUUCGGACAGCCUUACUGGAACACUGAAGCCCAGGCCCUCUUUUCUCUUUGCAGUAUUUCCACCUUCAGAAAGGCCAUAACUCCUGUCUGGGGAUUGCCACUGUCCCAGGUGUAUUACCAGGGUCAAGGCAGUGAAUAUUCAUGUAAAGGUGUUACUCAAUUGCACUGACAGCCCUUCUGAGUGGAGAAGUGGCUGAGAUGGUGUUAAAAAUAAAAGUGGUGACUGUUUGCUCCUUGCCCUGGUCUUCUAAAUGAUUCUGCAACAAGGUGGAAGCUUUUAAGGAAAAACGCAGUGCAGAUGGAGCAGAUGGUGCUGAUUUCACCCAAGAAUGAGACAUUCUAACAGCGAUAAAAUUCCUGCUGUUCUGUUUUCUCCAUGGAAGGAGUUCACUUCUGCUCUUGGCUGACUGUGUCUUGUUCCAUGACGUGGAUUUACUGGGAUGCUUCAGAAGUCAGAGCUGUGCCUCCAGCAUACACCAAGACCUAGGGCAGGAGAGGAGCAGCACAGGUCCUGGUUACACAGUGCAGUAAAGGAGCUGUGGUGCAUUGCUCUGGGAUUUGGGCUAUUUCCUGAGAAAUUAACAAGGCAAAUCCAAAGGAAAAAAAAAAAUGAAAGGGCAUAGAUGUUCUAUGUAUGACGAUUCAAUACCUUUUAUUCCUGUUCUGUUGUUUUUUUUUUAAUCCUGAGAAAGACAUCUGAGCCGUUGUUUCUUUCCCUAUUUCUAAAUAGAUGCAAGGUAACAAUGAGUCACUGACUAAAAAUAAAAGUAAGCCUCUUAUUUUUUUUGCAUCCGUAAGUAGGAAGUGGGAUGUGCUGCAUUAAUCAAGGCUUGUUUGGAAGCCCUGUGUGGGCUGGGUGUAGUGAAAAGGGUGACCUGGCAAAGCAUUCCUUCCUUGGGUAAUUUUCUAUCUCUCAGGAACUCUUCAGUCAGAAAUACAGGACUUUGAUAAGAAUCUUUCACAGUGAAUAUCGUUGGCUCUUACUUUGUAUGUAUGUAAGAGCUGGAGAUGUGUUAAAUUGGGAUCCACCAGGGCUUCUUUGUGCCGCUUUCUGAUUUUGUGGGUCCAAGUUGCCCGGUAGUGAAGCAACAAAGUUUUAUUGCCCUUAAAUAUUUUCUGUUGUCUGUAUUUCAUCAUGAAUGGUUCAGGUCAGGUACCAAAGCUUUGUCUCAUUCAAGUUCCUUUUAUAUUUUCAUACAGAGGAUUUGCCAGGCUGGGUCAUCUGCCUUGCAGCCCUCAAAGCAGCAUCGUGUGUGCAGUCUACCCAGCCAGCUUAGGGGUCCUGCUGCUGGGAUUUGUCUGUGCACAGUAAAGAGCAGCAGGCCUCUAAGGAUUGGUAGAAAGCAAGCAUGAUUCCUGAUUAUCCACUGCCUUUUCUCCUUCUUUCCUUCAAGUCUGUGUCAGUAUCAACUGUGUACACAAAGCAGCAAGAUCAGGGGAGCUCUUGCAUGCAAUACAUGCAUACAGAUUCAUUCAUCUGCAUGCAGUGGUUUGUCUGUCAGCUAACGUUCAACAAAACAUUCUGUGAGGUCGGUGUGGUGCAGAUGGGAGGCAACGCUCACAGUUUCCACUUUUCAAAAAUGCUUCCUGUGUCGGAGUUUAACAGAUUGUUAAAUGGAACUGCUGUAAUUUGAUUUAAUAGAGAUCUUAUGACUUAGUGAGAUGGUCCAGUAUCUUCUGACUUGGUGGUUUUGCAAGUAAGUAUCAUGCCCUUUGUGGCCUAACUAGUAAUUAAUCUUAAUGAUGCAUUGUCCCAAUAGUUUGAGUUGCUAUUAAUUAAUGGCAGUCUUUAGGUAUAUAGAUCACUACAUCUCCAUGCAUAGCAAAGAGAGAACAAAGCAACAACAAGGCUGUAACCUGACUUCAGGCAAACCAUGGAUGUCUUUGGUGCCAGCAAAGAGCUCACAGAAGGGCCUGAGGCUACUUGCAAGUGCUGCACACAACUGUGUGAUGAUUUAUUAAAAAUCAGGUGAUAGAGGGGCUGCAGAAAGCAGCUUUUGUUUCAACAGGCUUUUAUUUCCAAAUACUACAAUGUAAAUCAGCGAGACCGAAAUGGAAGCCCAAGUAAUCUGUCCCUUGUUCUGAUCUUUGGUUGUUGUUGUACUGUGAAUUCCAGUGGUUGGUUAUUGUUUUUUGUUUGUUUGUUUUCGUUUGUUUUUAUGCACCACCACA